UACAGAGGCCCCAAGCGUUGUUCGGAUUCACUGGGCGUAAAGGGUGCGUAGGUGGCUUGGAAAGUUUGAUGUGAAAGCUCAGGGCUUAACCCUGAAAUGGCAUUGAAUACUAUCGAGCUGGAGGUUUGGAGGGGGGACUGGAAUUCUCGGUGUAGCAGUGAAAUGCGUAGAUAUCGAGAGGAACACCAGUGGCGAAGGCGAGUCCCUGGACAACACCUGACACUGAGGCACGAAAGCCGGGGGAGCAAAC
RNAcentral lists this ribosomal RNA (250 nucleotides) under uncultured bacterium. RNAcentral describes it as "partial 16S ribosomal RNA". It matches the Rfam family "Bacterial small subunit ribosomal RNA", at positions 524 to 773 of the family's 1533-position model. The record is from RNAcentral.